RNAcentral lists this ribosomal RNA (282 nucleotides) under Triticum aestivum (bread wheat). RNAcentral describes it as "partial small subunit ribosomal RNA". Lineage: Eukaryota; Viridiplantae; Streptophyta; Magnoliopsida; Poales; Poaceae. The record is from RNAcentral.
AUGCUCACGGCCUGCGUCGAGAUCGCCGUCAAGAAGGGCGUUCGCUUCGCCCCGCCCAACCUGGCUUUCGCAGUCAUGCCCGACGAGCAGCUCCACGACGCGCUGCUCGCGCAGCAGUUCCCGGCCCGCCCCAGGAUCGCGAGCCUCGCCGUGAAGCACAUCGACGUCGCCGUCACCGUCCUCUCCCGCUUCAUGGAGCCCAAGAGGCUCGCCAGCCUCGCCGAGUUCUGCGACGACCACGCCUACAUCUCCGAGGGGGGCUUCUAUCUAGCAUCCGAUUGA